UACGUAGGGGGCUAGCGUUGUCCGGAAUCAUUGGGCGUAAAGAGCGUGUAGGCGGCCUGGUAAGUCCGCUGUGAAAGUCGGGGGCUCAACCCUCGAAUGCCGGUGGAUACUGUCGGGCUAGAGUGCGGAAGAGGCGAGUGGAAUUCCUGGUGUAGCGGUGAAAUGCGCAGAUAUCAGGAGGAACACCGAUUGCGAAGGCAGCUCGCUGGGACGUCACUGACGCUGAGACGCGAAAGCGUGGGGAGCAAACAGG
This 253-nucleotide ribosomal RNA is filed under the name uncultured bacterium. Its description in RNAcentral is "partial 16S ribosomal RNA". It matches the Rfam family "Bacterial small subunit ribosomal RNA", at positions 524 to 776 of the family's 1533-position model. The record is from RNAcentral.